UUCCGGUUGAUCCUGCCGGAGGUCAUUGCUAUUGGGGUCCGAUUUAGCCAUGCUAGUUGCGCGACUUAGAUCGCAGCGGAAAGCUCAGUAACACGUGGCCAAACUACCCUGCAGAGGAGCAUAAUCUCGGGAAACUGAGGCUAAUACUCCAUACCGCACUCACGUUGGAACGACCGAGUGCUAUAAACGCUCCGGCGCUGCAGGAUGUGGCUGCGGCCGAUUAGGUAGACGGUGGGGUAACGGCCCACCGUGCCGAUAAUCGGUACGGGUUGUGAGAGCAAGAGCCCGGAGACGGAAUCUGAGACAAGAUUCCGGGCCCUACGGGGCGCAGCAGGCGCGAAACCUUUACACUGCACGACAGUGCGAUAAGGGGACCCCAAGUGCGAGGGCAUACAGUCCUCGCUUUUGUGUACCGUAAGGUGGUACACGAAUAAGAGCUGGGCAAGACCGGUGCCAGCCGCCGCGGUAAUACCGGCAGCUCAAGUGAUGACCGAUUUUAUUGGGCCUAAAGCGUCCGUAGCUGGCCGCGUAGGUUCGUCGGGAAAUCCAUCCGCUCAACGGAUGGGCGUCCGGCGAAAACCACGUGGCUUGGGACCGGAAGGCUCGAGGGGUACGUCCGGGGUAGGAGUGAAAUCCCGUAAUCCUGGACGGACCGCCGAUGGCGAAAGCACCUCGAGAAGACGGAUCCGACAGUGAGGGACGAAAGCUGGGGUCUCGAACCGGAUUAGAUACCCGGGUAGUCCCAGCCGUAAACAAUGCCAAUUAGGUGUGGCACCGACUACGAGUCGGUGCUGUGCCGUAGGGAAGCCGAUAAAUUGGCCGCCUGGGAAGUACGUCCGCAAGGAUGAAACUUAAAGGAAUUGGCGGGGGAGCACUACAACCGGGGGAGCCUGCGGUUUAAUUGGACUCAACGCCGGU
This 918-nucleotide ribosomal RNA is filed under the name uncultured archaeon. RNAcentral describes it as "bacterial SSU rRNA". It matches the Rfam family "Archaeal small subunit ribosomal RNA", at positions 1 to 922 of the family's 1478-position model. The record is from RNAcentral.